This 531-nucleotide ribosomal RNA is filed under the name Entrophospora etunicata. Its description in RNAcentral is "SSU rRNA". It matches the Rfam family "Eukaryotic small subunit ribosomal RNA", at positions 512 to 1103 of the family's 1831-position model. Lineage: Eukaryota; Fungi; Glomeromycota; Glomeromycetes; Entrophosporales; Entrophosporaceae. The record is from RNAcentral.
AGAUCGGGGCAUCGCUACAUAGCGUAUAUUAAAGUUGUUGCAGUUAAAAAGCUCGUAGUUGAAUUUCGGGAUUGACACAUCGGUCGUGCCUUAAGGGGUAUGAACUGGUGUAGUCAAUUUCUCACCUUCUGGAGAACCGCGAUGCCCUUAAUUGGGUGUCACGGGGAACCAGGACCUUUACUUUGAAAAAAUUAGAGUGUUUAAAGCAGGCAUUUUGCUUGAAUACAUUAGCAUGGAAUAAUAAAAUAGGACGGCAUGAUUCUAUUUUGUUGGUUUCUAGGAUCACCGUAAUGAUUAAUAGGGAUAGUUGGGGGCAUUAGUAUUCAAUUGUCAGAGGUGAAAUUCUUGGAUUUAUUGAAGACUAACUACUGCGAAAGCAUUUGCCAAGGAUGUUUUCAUUAAUCAAGAACGAAAGUUAGGGGAUCGAAGACGAUCAGAUACCGUCGUAGUCUUAACCAUAAACUAUGCCGACUAGGAAUCAGACGAUGUUAAUUUUUUAAUGACUCGUUCGGCGCUAGGGGGUACCAUCCG